Salmo salar (Atlantic salmon) is the source of this 152-nucleotide non-coding RNA. NCBI's taxonomy places the organism in Eukaryota, Metazoa, Chordata, Actinopteri, Salmoniformes, Salmonidae. The record is from Rfam.
AACUCUUAGCAGUGGAUCACUUAGCUCGUGCGUCGAUGAAGAAGGCAGCUAGAUGCAAGAACUUAUGUGAAUUGCAGGACACAUUGAUCAGACACUUCGAACGCACCUUGCGGCCCCAGGGUCCUCCUGGGGCUAUGCCUGUCUGAGGGCCG